UGGAGAGUUUGAUCCUGGCUCAGGACGAACGCUGGCGGCGUGCUUAACACAUGCAAGUCGAACGGAAAGGCCCUUCGGGGUACUCGAGUGGCGAACGGGUGAGUAACACGUGGGUGAUCUGCCCUGCACUUUGGGAUAAGCCUGGGAAACUGGGUCUAAUACCGAAUAUGACCACGCGCUUCAUGGUGUGUGGUGGAAAGCUUUUGCGGUGUGGGAUGGGCCCGCGGCCUAUCAGCUUGUUGGUGGGGUAAUGGCCUACCAAGGCGACGACGGGUAGCCGGCCUGAGAGGGUGACCGGCCACACUGGGACUGAGAUACGGCCCAGACUCCUACGGGAGGCAGCAGUGGGGAAUAUUGCACAAUGGGCGCAAGCCUGAUGCAGCGACGCCGCGUGAGGGAUGACGGCCUUCGGGUUGUAAACCUCUUUCAAUAGGGACGAAGCGCAAGUGACGGUACCUAUAGAAGAAGGACCGGCCGACUACGUGCCAGCAGCCGCGGUA
Molecule: ribosomal RNA, 500 nt
Filed under: Mycolicibacterium fortuitum
Lineage: Bacteria; Bacillati; Actinomycetota; Actinomycetes; Mycobacteriales; Mycobacteriaceae
Description: bacterial SSU rRNA
Rfam family: Bacterial small subunit ribosomal RNA
Source: RNAcentral